AUCCAGAUGAUGAGUCUCAUGCAGGGCGAAAUGUGCAUCCUGGAU
This 45-nucleotide non-coding RNA is filed under the name Trichobilharzia regenti. The record is from RNAcentral. Lineage: Eukaryota; Metazoa; Platyhelminthes; Trematoda; Strigeidida; Schistosomatidae.